GUGACGUGGAGAUCUCGGUGCUUCCCCUAGUCGCGUCAAUUUGUUUCCUCGUUCGGUCGCAUCCGUACAAUGUACACGAGAAAGUGAACGAUGCGCUGGUAUUUCAUGUCUGAUUACUUACGGCGGAAUGCGUUUGAUUGCGGUAGAAAUUCAUUCAUAUACCGAAAAAUUGCGUCUCUUUUUCGUUACGCGAAUCUUUUCUUCUAGAAAUCGUUGAUGUCACUCAAUUUAAAAGUAGGGUCAGCUAAGAUCGACCGAUCCGAGGUGGGAGAUCGAGCUAGGUCAGUAUCACACCGAGUGAAAUUUGAUCAUAAAAAUUUACGAAUGGUUCAGACCGCAUCUGUUACGUGUGUUUUCGAAGGUUUUCUAUAAUUCCGUCGUCAAAUUACGCCGUCUCCGAAUCCCGAAGGGCGGCCUACCUUGGCGAAAGAAGUCAAAUAGAGUCGUUACCUAUGAGAUAGUCUAAUAGCAGACAAAUUGUCGGCACGACCGGCAUUAUAGUUGCGAUUCGAUACCGAGUGCCGUCCACGCGCAGGUGAAACUUUAGUGAUCCUUGGCAAAGGUCGCUCCCGCACGAGUUCGAAGAAAGUAUACCGAUAAAGUGCACCAGGAAGUGGAUAGCUCGGCGUAAUAAUCGUUGCCGAAGGUGCUCGCUUCGAUUCCACAGCUCAUUCGAACACGGAUGUCCAAAGUAUAACUGACCUUUUAUUCCCAAUAUUUGAUGAGUCUUACUGCUCAAUUAUUGGUAUUGAAGGCGUAAUUGGAGCUUUGCAUUGAUUUUAUAUUUACGCCGUCAUUCGCGCGCGUCCAAGUCGUAGAUCCGUAAUAAAAAUCUCAUGGGAUGUUCCGGACUACUCUUUCCGCACCGUCGUCGUCGUAUCGAUAAUACAUGAUUGACGGUAAAUACUUCUGGUAAUCGAUGGGAAUUGCUCAAUCAAUUCCACACCCAUGACUACUAAUUGCUAUUCACUAUUCACCAGAGACGCAAUGACGCAAUAUGUUGAAUUGCGAUAAACGGAGUGCAGCUGAUUUUGCAUGGCUAGUCGUCGAUUUCAACGAAAUUUACCGCACGCCAUUCAGUUAUUUCUUCUAUUUUCGAUGCGCCACAUCAGUUGGUUUAAUUCGUGAUUAAAUGACCAGAAAAAUGAAAUAUCAUCGAGACGCAAUAACGCAGGAAUUCUGUCAGACGAGUCCCGAAUCAAGGCCACCGAUGAGUUAGGUGAAUAAUAAUCGGGACUUCGAUUUUCGGUAUAUGUAUAUCACAUUUACGAAUAUCCCUCGAAAUCUCCGGGGUCAAGGAUCAACCGAUCGUCAAACUGGGUGAAUAAUUGUUACGCAACUGAUGCGAGAGGGGGCAGCGUUGACCCCACCGAGUGCGAACGUAUCGUUCUUCGGGAACGUCGCCUGAAAAUUAAGCGUUGUCCAUUCUGCCCCGGGAACCGUUUCGCCCCGCUCUUCCCUGUCCAUAUUAGAAAAGAUGUGCUGAAUGUUGGUCACCGUUUAUUACCGCAGUAACGGUAGCAGCUUGCUGGACGAACAAACUUUCUUCGCUGGUUAUCGUUUACCAGAUAUGCCUGGGCAUACGUGUCGUAUACGUGUGGUAUACCUAUACCUACGUACCUUUCACUGGUAGCGGUAGACUCACCGUGCGAGAGCUGGCCCAGGUCAUCAACUCGUUCUGCACGGCGAUAGUUCGCUAUUAUAACACGUAUUUCACCGAGAUGAAGACUGGACGGCCAGAAUUUCCGGAACUAGAAGAUCAACUUCCUGAAAUCCCCCUAUAAUUAUUUUUAUGAAAAAUGUCCGUUACGUCUGACAUCCCACCAAGUCUCAGUCCGUAAUAUGAACGAUUUCAGAUUCAUCCAACGGAAAGUGUUGUUAUGUCGAGUUGAUGGAAUGGUGAAUAAAAAGCAACAAAUAUGGCGACAGAUCCGAACGAUCGUCAAUUUUGUGAACUACUGCGUCAGAGAUUAUUGUUUAUUUAUUUAUAUCUAUUUUUUUAAUACCGAUCAACUUUGAUAAUUUCGAUCUGACGCUUGAUAUUCGUAAGAUUAAUUUAUUUAUGCACGAGGUGUAACGGUGUAUUCAAUAAUUUAAUGAUAUGAGAGUAAAUUGAUUCAAACUGAUAUGAAAUUGUAGUUUCUCUGAUUUGAAUUCAUCAGUUAUAUAAGUUAAUCAACUUUCGGGGAAAUAUUCGAAUAAUUUCGUGUGAUUUCUAAUUGCUGGUAUG
This is a long non-coding RNA of Athalia rosae (coleseed sawfly), 2230 nucleotides long. RefSeq lists it as uncharacterized. The record is from RefSeq and is a predicted model, not a curated record. Lineage: Eukaryota; Metazoa; Arthropoda; Insecta; Hymenoptera; Athaliidae. The transcript is spliced from 3 exons.